This 253-nucleotide ribosomal RNA is filed under the name uncultured bacterium. RNAcentral describes it as "partial 16S ribosomal RNA". It matches the Rfam family "Bacterial small subunit ribosomal RNA", at positions 524 to 776 of the family's 1533-position model. The record is from RNAcentral.
UACGUAGGCAGCGAGUGUUGUUCGGAAUUACUGGGCGUAAAGAGUGUGUAGGCGGUGCUCUAAGUUCGGUGUGAAAUCUCCUGGCUCAACUGGGAGGGUGCGCCGGAAACUGGAGUGCUUGAGCGUGGGAGAGGAAAGCGGAAUUCCUGGUGUAGCGGUGAAAUGCGUAGAUAUCAGGAGGAACACCUGUGGUGUAGACGGCUUUCUGGACCAUAGCUGACGCUGAGACACGAAAGCGUGGGUAGCAAACAGG